Long non-coding RNA from Brassica napus (rape), 4147 nucleotides. RefSeq lists it as uncharacterized. NCBI's taxonomy places the organism in Eukaryota, Viridiplantae, Streptophyta, Magnoliopsida, Brassicales, Brassicaceae. The record is from RefSeq and is a predicted model, not a curated record. The transcript has 4 exons.
UUAAUUCUUAAAUCAUUAGGUCACAGCCGUAAACUUUCUUAUAAGUCUAACAAAUAACUAACUAUAUAAACCAUCAAAUAGUUGUGAACCAACAAAACCCUAGUUUUAUUUUCACAUGAACUUGAAAGAUAUAUAAGCAACAAUCGAUUAACAAAAUUUAAUAAAUUAUGCAUGAAAAUAGUGAUUCACUAUUUUCAAUCGUGUUUAUGCUAUUAGUUUCGAUCUAUAGUCAUGCCCUAUUAAUAAACAGUAACGAUAUGCAUAUGUAUGAUUAAAUAAUUAGCAACUAGGUGAUAACCCGCGCCCUGCGCGGAGUAAAUAGAUUUCAAAAUAUUAUCACUUUUAAUUUGUAGACAUAAUAAAAAAUUAAAGUCAUAGCAAGAAAUACUAUAUGUUAUAAAGUAAGGGUUAGACGAAAUUUAGUAUAUCAAUCUAAAUUAAGCUGCAGAAUUUUUGUUUAAAAAUUGUAUAUUUGUUUGCAUAAAAUAAAUUAUAAAUAUAAAAUAAAACGAAACAUAAGCAAUAGACUAAUAAAAUAUAAAAGAAACAAUGUCUUGAAUGGUUUCAAAUCGGAAACAGAGUUAAAGCUAGCCAUUUGAUUGCUUGAGAGAAUGUUUUGAUAUGAGCAAAGUCGAGAAGAAAAGUGUGGUGAGUUUUCUAAAUUAUAGAAGCCGUAUAUUUAUACUAAAAAGGAAUCGCCAUGGGGUCGGUCAUAUGGAUUCAAAAUAAUGGCCGUAACUAAAUCGAAUAUUACACAUAACUUGCGCUCCAAUCUUAGUCGAGAAUUAUUUUAAUAUUGUAAAUAGUUAAUGCAAACUUCCUUUUAUCAAUCGCAAUUGAACAAAUUCAAGAAAGUUCAUGAUUAUUAAUUGAUUACAAUAAUUUGAACCUUAAUCUACGUUCCUUAUAUACAAAAGUCAAGUCCUCACAAAUCACGUAUUAUUACCAUCAAUUUACCAAAUUUGUAAUUUAAAAAUAUAUCAAAGUUAUUAGAAGUUUCCUUUUUCCCAAUCAUCAAUCAAUUUCUUCCUUGCAAAUCACGUUUAAAUCAUGGGCAAUUUGCUCCGCCAUUAUUUGCUUUAUGCAAGCUGGCGUUAAAAUCUUAAUUACGAUAGAUCAUAUAAGGUAAGUUUUUAUAAUUGUAUGCCAGAAAAUCGUAUUUUACCUUAGUUUCUACAACGCAAGGCGGAGAUCAUCUAACAAUUUAAUGAAACGGGGCAAGUAUAUGCCAUAUGCAUGGUUCUUCUGUUUCACUAUUUUAAAACAAAGUUUUCCUCUUGAUAUAUUUUUAAGAGAACAAAUAUUUUUUUCGUAUUUUUAAGAAAAUCAAUCACUUGAGCACGUAUUGAUCAUCAAAUACUUUUUAGGAUUUUUCAGAAAACAAACUUUGAUUGAUAAUCGUACAUUAAUUUUUUCGCAUCUAUAUUCAUUUUGAAUAAAAAUUAGACCACUACGUAUGUCAGUAAUGUUUUUGUAUUGAAACAAAUUAAUGAAAAAACUUCAGUCAAGGUAAUUAACAUAAUUUUAAAAUCUUUGAUGUAAUACGUAGAACUUCGGUUAAGGUAACUAACGCAAGAAAUAAAUGAUAAGGUUUGAUGAUCAACGUAUAUAUGUGACAAAUGUAGACAAAACUAAGGAAAUUAUAAAGUUUUGAUCAAUGGCAUGUUGUGUAAUUACUCUAGUUAACAAAGGGGUUUUAAAUAGAAUAGGUGAGGGAGCUUGUGGAGUUGCCACGUAAGAAAUGGCACACUUGUAAUAAACACAUGAACUAAAGGUUAUUUAUUUUUAAUGCUCCUCAAAUAAUAAUAAAGGGAUAAGCAGAAACAAACUAAAUGCAAAUGAGUUGAGCAAUAAUCAUGGCGUCAAGUAAUAACAAAUUAUACGAAUAUAAAUAUUGAAACUAACGAGAUUGAAUUUAGCUUAUAAAGUCGAUACGAUCACAUCAAAGUGAUCUAAUAAUUUUCUUUCCUUGGAAAGAGGUCAAAUAAAUAUUAUCGACUAAAACUUUUAAACUCAAUAAGCUAGAUGAAUCAUGAGUUUGAUAAUAAACAUGAUUCUAGUAUUGAUAAAUAAUACUUCAAUUAAGUAUCGAUAAUAUUAGAUCCACUAUUACAACCAUGAAUUGAUAAUAAACAUGGAUUGAAGAAAGUUUCAAUAAAUAUUAAGAAUGUAGCAGAAAAUAGAAUUUGAUACCUCUUAGCUCAAGAUUGAGAGAGUUUCAUGCUGAUAACGUAUUAUAAGUAAGAAGAGAAAAAAUGAAUUGGUGUAUCUUAUUCCAUGAAUAAUGAGUUCUUUAUAUAGGCUACAAUAGCUUGGGGACAAAGUAUAACUAAGAGAACAAGUAGACUUGAGAAUCAAGUAAAUUUAAGACUUCUCAUAUGGACAUCACAUAAUAUUCAAAACAAAUUCGUUUUUUUUGUUCAAUCCCAAUAUAUAAAAGGGAUUGAGGGAGAGAUUUGAAGCUAUACACGUCGGAUUGGAAAUUCAUCCAAUCAGAGAGCUUAAAAUUGCCAUGUCACUGCUUUAAACUGGACUUGUGUGUGGGAUUUCUUCAAAUUUCCAUCAGGCCCAACCCAGCCUAUGCCGAGAAACUGUAUCGUCUUCAAACAUCGAGGGUCUCUCUCCCCGACUAUUCCACUUUAUCUUCUCUAAUGUCUGAUUUUUUUUCCUCAGUUACUUUCUCAAUCAAUAAUGAACUUAAAGCUAUUCUUGAAUGUUUUAUUCCACCUCCCUUGAAUAUAGCUCUCAACCUACAAAUCUCCAGUCGUUGUCUACUUCUGCUGAAACCACCCCCAAGAGAGAAGCUAAGGCACAUGAGGUGGUCAAUGGAACCGGAGCUGAGCUUGAUCAGAUAAGGUCGGAUGUCUAGAGUCUAGAUAGACAGAAGCCAUCGGCGGUGACAACUGUUCUUAACAGCGAGAUAGCCAAGGCUAAAGCUAAAUCGGACUGAGCCAUGGAGAAUAAGGCGGACUCUUCGACAAUAAGUUAGCAAAGGAAGGUGAAAACUGACUAUACCUUUGUUGUGGAGUUGACAAUUUUGGACGAAUAAUGAGAUUCUUGGGUUUGGUUUUGAAACAUGGCUUCUCUUAAGCUUGAGCGAAGACAUGAGCAACCAUGAACGCGGUAUGGAGAAGACCACCGAUCACUUACAUCGUCAAACUGUGAACUCCAAGAAGAAUUGUCUGACGUGGAGAUCAAAGCUAGGGCAGCAAUUGGAGCUGUUGAGGCAGCUCAAAACCCAAGCAAUCUCAAGGUUAUGAAAACUCAGAUUAUGCUUAUUGCUUACGAAAGCCAAGGCCACCAACCCCAUGAAGCUAACGGUUCUCACCAGUUUCUCUACAACACUCAACAUACACAAAUCCAUAUAACCUAAACUCAUUGCAUAGAUCCACUGCAUCAAACGCGAGUUAAUAUAUGUCCUUAAACUUUUGGGAUCUUUAUGAUUCAUUUAGUACUAGAGACGGUUUCAGUUACUAACAUUUUUAUACAAGUGUAAGUGUGUCCAGGUAUAUAUAAAUUGUGAGCUAAUGUUACCUGGGAAGUUUGUGCUAUAGAGAGAAGAUAAGUUUUCGUCACUCUGGUGGAAAGAGUAUGCAGAUUGCAGCCAAGUCUCUCUACCACAAGUCGUUCCUAAAAAUAAAUCGAAUAAGCAUUGAAAAUCAUUUAGAAACUUUUGUCUCUUCUACUCUAUAUGAAGUUGAGGAGGAGAGGUUUGGUGUACAUGUUAAGGGUGGGCUAAAUGAGGUACCAUCGUUCUUUGCGGUGUUUUAGAAUUUUUAUUUAAAUGAUAACAUGUUGAACCUUUAGAGUCCUUAUAUCUAACUUAUGUUUCUGACCAAGGAACCAUAAUACUGUUGGUGGACUUGGUGAGGAGGCAUUGUUUCCUGUGUAUGGAAUGGAGAUAAUCGGCCUGUGCUUAGAGUCCAGAAACUGUUACAGAACACUUGGAGCUUCCAUAUCAUAACAAGGAGAACGAGCCCAAGAACUGGAGAGAUCGCUAGAGCUCAAAUAAAGGGUCUGCAGAGGCGCUAAAUUUUAAAUUGAGAUGUUAUCUUUUUUGUUUGUUUUAGUAUAUCAGUUUGGUCUAUGAUGUUUAAAUCUAUGUAAGUUCUCGAUAUUUUUAUGAUAAUCCAGAAAUUCCAUUUGA